This 592-nucleotide ribosomal RNA is filed under the name uncultured bacterium. Its description in RNAcentral is "bacterial SSU rRNA". It matches the Rfam family "Bacterial small subunit ribosomal RNA", at positions 912 to 1509 of the family's 1533-position model. The record is from RNAcentral.
GACGGGGGCCCGCACAAGCAGUGGAGUAUGUGGUUUAAUUCGAAGCAACGCGAAGAACCUUACCAGGUCUUGACAUCCUGCUAACGAAGUAGAGAUACAUCAGGUGCCCUUCGGGGAAAGCAGAGACAGGUGGUGCAUGGUUGUCGUCAGCUCGUGUCGUGAGAUGUUGGGUUAAGUCCCGCAACGAGCGCAACCCUUGUGAUUAGUUGCUACGCAAGAGCACUCUAAACAGACUGCCGUUGACAAAACGGAGGAAGGUGGGGACGACGUCAAAUCAUCAUGCCCCUUAUGACCUGGGCUACACACGUACUACAAUGGCCGCGAACAGAGGGAAGCAAGGGAGCGAUCCGGAGCAAAACCCUAAAAGCGGUCUCAGUUCAGAUUGCAGGCUGCAACCCGCCUGCAUGAAGGUGGAAUUGCUAGUAAUCGCGGAUCAGCAUGCCGCGGUGAAUACGUUCCCGGGCCUUGUACACACCGCCCGUCACACCAUGGGAGCCGGUAAUACCCGAAGUCAGUAGUCUAACGGAAGAGGACGCUGCCGAAGGUAGGAUUGGCGACUGGGGUGAAGUCGUAACAAGGUAGCCGUUCGGAA